ACACAAAAAAAUUUAUUCACUUUUAUUUUUUUCCUUAUUUUCCACCCUUUAUUUUCUCUUCCCUCCAAAAAGUUUUCCAAACACAGUGCGUAUGAAACCAAACGCAUGCGCCUCUCAAUAAUAUUUGCCCAAAACGGCAAGUUUCCUUUAUAUUAUUGCCUUCUCCUCCAUCUCUUUAUUCUCCGCCUCAGUGUGACCGCACAGUUAAUUUUUCGUCCUUUUGCGGAUAUCAAUGGCUGCAAAAGCACCAGAACCUACUACCGGCGGUACUACGACCACCCAUCCCUUUGAUCCCAGCACUGGUUUUUGUAAGGAAACCAGAACCUUUNNN
RNAcentral lists this long non-coding RNA (331 nucleotides) under Manihot esculenta (cassava). RNAcentral's name for it is "long non-coding RNA (MESC_LNC008314)". The record is from RNAcentral. Lineage: Eukaryota; Viridiplantae; Streptophyta; Magnoliopsida; Malpighiales; Euphorbiaceae.